CCUACGGGUGGCAGCAGUGAGGAAUAUUGGUCAAUGGGCGCGAGCCUGAACCAGCCAAGUAGCGUGAAGGAUGACUGCCCUACGGGUUGUAAACUUCUUUUAUAAAGGAAUAAAGUGAGGCACGUGUGCCUUUUUGUAUGUACUUUAUGAAUAAGGAUCGGCUAACUCCGUGCCAGCAGCCGCGGUAAUACGGAGGAUCCGAGCGUUAUCCGGAUUUAUUGGGUUUAAAGGGAGCGUAGAUGGGAUGUUAAGUUAGUGGUGAAAGUUUGCGGCUCAACCGUAAAAUUGCAAUUGAUACUGGCAGCCUUGAGUACAGUUGAGGUAGGCGGAAUGCGUGGUGUAGCGGUGAAAUGCUUAGAUAUCACGAAGAACACCGAUUGCGAAGGCAGCUUACUAAGCUGCCACUGACAUUGAUGCUCGAAAGUGUGGGUAUCAAACAGGAUUAGAUACCCUAGUAGUC
Molecule: ribosomal RNA, 460 nt
Filed under: uncultured bacterium
Lineage: Bacteria
Description: partial 16S ribosomal RNA
Rfam family: Bacterial small subunit ribosomal RNA
Source: RNAcentral